RNA transcript from Pleuronectes platessa (European plaice), 1979 nucleotides. It is a transcript of the gene named leucine rich repeat containing 39, with no coding region annotated. The transcript has 9 exons. Lineage: Eukaryota; Metazoa; Chordata; Actinopteri; Pleuronectiformes; Pleuronectidae. The record is from RefSeq and is a predicted model, not a curated record.
GUGGCUGUGGGCGGAGUCAUGUGACUGUAGGCGGGGUCAUUUGACUUGAAAGCUAAAAUUAUCAUCACAGGUCUGAGGUCAGAUUUCAGCAGAGAGGACACAACAUGGAGGACAACUGUUUCUGUUUGUUAUGUUUCAGCUGUCUCGGCCCAAUCAGGGAGUUCAUCUAGAAGACGAGGUCAGAGGUCAUCAUGAUGGGCGUGUCCGCGUGCGUCUCCGUCAGCUCCAUCAAGGCUCUGUGGGAGGGGAAGAUCCGGGCGAGGAAGGAGGAGGAGCACAGAUGGAGGACAGCCAGGGGCGGAGUCACUGGAAGUUUGCUCGUGGGGGUCUGGGAGGACCGGGCGAUUCUGGCCCGACUCAAACAGAAGCUGCAGACAGAAGACGGACGGCUGGUUCUCCGAAUCGAGAAGGAGGAGUGGAAGUCUUUGCCAGACUGUUUGAUCCAGCUCAGUCAGGUCCAGGAGUGGCAGAUCCACCGGACUGGACUCCAGAAGAUCCCUCACUUCAUAUCUAGCUUCCAGAACCUUCUGAUUCUUGAUCUGUCCCGUAAUGGGAUCACAGAGAUCCCCAAACAGAUCGGAAAGCUGGUCCGGCUUCGAGAGCUGCUGCUGAGCUACAACAGAGUUCAGUUUGUUCCCGAAGAGCUGAGCUGCUGUGAAAAUCUGGAGAAACUGGAACUUGCCAUGAACCAGGAUGUGGACCACCUGCCAGACCAGUUCAGGAACCUGAAGAAGCUGCAGCACCUGGACCUGUCAAUGAACCUCUUCACCUCCAUUCCAGACUGCGUCGUUGGACUGCCAGCGCUCGAGUGGCUCGAUAUGGGUGGAAACCGAUUGCAGCACUUACCUGAGGACAUACACAGGAUGGAGAAGCUACACACAAUGUGGCUCCAGAGGAACGAGAUCGAGAAACUCCCAGAAAACAUCAGCAGAAUGUCCAGUCUGGACACACUGGUCCUCAGCAGCAACAGACUGAGAGACAUCCCCCCUCUGAUGGAUGACAUGUCCAACCUCAGGUUUGUUAACUUCCGGGACAACCCUCUGACUCUGGACGUGACGCUGCCAUGCAGGAAGACGAAGGCUGAGGACGAUGAAGAUGAAGAUGAUGAAGAUGAUGAUGACAGAGAGAUGUUUGGACGAGAGUUCAUGAAGAUUUACAUCGAGGAGGCCAGGAAGAGGUCGUACGCUGUGCUCAACAUGCACCGCAUCAACCGUUAGUUCCAACACGUCACCGCACUCACAGAACCUUGUGGAGCUCCGUGACUAAGUUGUGUGUCCAUGGAGGAGUCAGGGUGAACAUGAGUGUGGCUCCAAGGGCGGGAAGCAGCAAGAAGAACCAAUCAAAAUGUGCUCAUGAGUUUACAGAACAAAACCCUUCUGUUGUAUGUUAGGCUCAAAGCAGGAGUGGACCACGAGGAGGAACUUAUUUAAAAACAUCAGUUUUCUUCUGUCAAAAGUCAAACUGUGUUUUUCAGUCAGUUAAUUUACUGAAGAAGCUCGAGAGAAACAGCUGAAAGCUCCGACAACACCUUCAGUUCAAAUGAAUUAACUUCAAAAUGACUACAACUAUUAACCAUAACAGUAAUUGAUACACAUGACACUAAAAUGAAUGUUGAAUUUAUAAUCAAUCAUAUUCUUAAUGGUAAAAUACUCAUCAGAAUGUUUUACUAUAAAAUGUUUGAUUAUAAAUCCCUGAUAAUUAACUGAUGAAUAACUAAUAAUUGUUUCUUUUGUGAAUAUUGCAGAUGAUUCUUCAGACCUGAUGUGUUGCUGAGCUUCUUCUUCUGCAGCUUUUUCAAUCUAAAGACGUUUUAUUGUCUAGUGACGGCUGAAAGAGUCAAAUCUGCUGACUCUUCAUUAUGCUGAUGAACUUUGACCUUCUCCAGCUGUGAUCCUGUGAUGUGUCAAAACAACAGGAAACGGAAAAUUCUUAACAGAAACUUUAUCAAACAUUAAACUCAGUCGCAUGACUUCACAAAA